UUUUCCCCACUGAAUGUUUUUAGAGGUUUGGAGACACAGAAAAGAUUAACAUGGCUCCUGUGCAAGGAUGGUAUGCAAAUUCUUGAAGUGUUCCAUAUUUUU
Small nuclear RNA from Nycticebus coucang (slow loris), 102 nucleotides. The record is from RefSeq and is a predicted model, not a curated record. Lineage: Eukaryota; Metazoa; Chordata; Mammalia; Primates; Lorisidae.